UACGUAGGUGGCAAGCGUUGUCCGGAUUUAAUGGGAGUAAAGAGUGCGAAGGCGGUAGUUGAAGUUGAGUGUGAAAGCCCCCGGCUCAACUGGGGAGGGUCACGCGAUACUGAUCGACUCGAAGGCAGGAGAGGGUAGUGGAAUUCCCGGUGUAGUGGUGAAAUGCGCAGAUAUCAGGAGGAACACCGGUGGCGAAGGCGGGUCUCUGGGCCGAUACUGACGCUGAGGAGCGAAAGCGUGGGGAGCGAACAGG
Molecule: ribosomal RNA, 253 nt
Filed under: uncultured bacterium
Lineage: Bacteria
Description: partial 16S ribosomal RNA
Rfam family: Bacterial small subunit ribosomal RNA
Source: RNAcentral